CACGUUAUAUGCUCGUCACUGCUAUACUCACAGCUUUUCAACCUCUCUACAUCACUCCUUUUCUCCUUUUCUCUUUUUCUUUAUAAUCUUUUAGAAAUCAAAUCUACCUUCCCCAAAAAAACAUCCUCAGAAAAUUCAAUAAAAAAGCGAAGGGGUGUUUCGUUGAUUUUCCCAAAAGUCAAAAAGUUAAACCUAAUUCACAGAUUUAGUUUAUUCUCCAGUUCUCCCUUUAAUCUAGAAUCUGGGUUUGAGAAUUCGAGCUGAAACAGACAAUUCAGAAAAGCUCCGAUAGGCGAAGGGGUUCUUCCAAUCCAGGAAGAUGGGUCAUCAUCAUCAUCACCACCACCACCACCACCAUAACGAUCAAUCCCAUCACCAUGGAAGCAAUAGCGAUCGCUCUUAUAAUGAUCCAUUCGUAUCGGGUUGUUGUUGUUACCCCUGUCUUCUAUUCUUUUCCCUGUUCAGGAGACUUGGGAGAUGCGCUUUCGUUGCUUGUUACCCUAUCUUGCAGUGCUUUAGAUGGGAUGAUUCCAGACAUGAUCACCACCCAAGACAUUUCCAUUGAUCAGAAGUAAGGUUUCAUGGAUUGAUUCAUGCCAUGUAAAUUUGUAAUUAAUGAUUGGAGAUGUGAUCAAAGAAUGGGCUUUCAAAUGAAUUGCCUGAACAUUGUUGAUUUCAAUUUAUGUGUUCUCUCUUCUGGAUUUGUUGCAGAAGAGGAUUAUGGAACAAAUUCCAAAUAUUGCAAAUGUUAUUUUAUUUUAUUUUAUUUUA
Molecule: long non-coding RNA, 771 nt
Organism: Macadamia integrifolia
Lineage: Eukaryota; Viridiplantae; Streptophyta; Magnoliopsida; Proteales; Proteaceae
Exons: 2
Source: RefSeq, a predicted model, not a curated record